AUUCAGCUGAUGAGUCCUAAACAGGACGAAAUACGCGUCCUGGAU
Non-coding RNA from Schistosoma mansoni, 45 nucleotides. The record is from Rfam. Lineage: Eukaryota; Metazoa; Platyhelminthes; Trematoda; Strigeidida; Schistosomatidae.